Molecule: ribosomal RNA, 255 nt
Filed under: uncultured bacterium
Lineage: Bacteria
Description: partial 16S ribosomal RNA
Rfam family: Bacterial small subunit ribosomal RNA
Source: RNAcentral
UACGUAGGGUGCGAGCGUUGUCCGGAAUUAUUGGGCGUAAAGGGCUCGUAGGCGGUCUGUCGCGUCGGGAGUGAAAAACUCAGGGCUUAACCCUGAGCCUGCUUCCGAUACGGGCAGACUAGAGGUAUGCAGGGGGAGAACGGAAUUCCUGGUGUAGCGGUGAAAUGCGCAGAUAUCAGGAGGAACACCGGUGGCGAAGGCGGGUCUCUGGGCCGAUACUGACGCUGAGGAGCGAAAGCGUGGGGAGCGAACAGG